Molecule: ribosomal RNA, 605 nt
Filed under: Mesorhizobium qingshengii
Lineage: Bacteria; Pseudomonadati; Pseudomonadota; Alphaproteobacteria; Hyphomicrobiales; Phyllobacteriaceae
Description: bacterial SSU rRNA
Rfam family: Bacterial small subunit ribosomal RNA
Source: RNAcentral
UGCAGUCGAGCGCCUCGCAAGAGGAGCGGCAGACGGGUGAGUAACGCGUGGGAAUCUACCCAUCUCUACGGAACAACUCCGGGAAACUGGAGCUAAUACCGUAUACGUCCUUCGGGAGAAAGAUUUAUCGGAGAUGGAUGAGCCCGCGUUGGAUUAGCUAGUUGGUGGGGUAAUGGCCUACCAAGGCGACGAUCCAUAGCUGGUCUGAGAGGAUGAUCAGCCACACUGGGACUGAGACACGGCCCAGACUCCUACGGGAGGCAGCAGUGGGGAAUAUUGGACAAUGGGCGAAAGCCUGAUCCAGCCAUGCCGCGUGAGUGAUGAAGGCCCUAGGGUUGUAAAGCUCUUUCAACGGUGAAGAUAAUGACGGUAACCGUAGAAGAAGCCCCGGCUAACUUCGUGCCAGCAGCCGCGGUAAUACGAAGGGGGCUAGCGUUGUUCGGAAUUACUGGGCGUAAAGCGCACGUAGGCGGAUUGUUAAGUUAGGGGUGAAAUCCCAGGGCUCAACCCUGGAACUGCCUUUAAUACUGGCAAUCUCGAGUCCGAGAGAGGUGAGUGGAAUUCCGAGUGUAGAGGUGAAAUUCGUAGAUAUUCGGAGGAACACC